RNAcentral lists this long non-coding RNA (1171 nucleotides) under Zea mays. RNAcentral describes it as "long non-coding RNA (ZMAY_LNC004683)". The record is from RNAcentral. Lineage: Eukaryota; Viridiplantae; Streptophyta; Magnoliopsida; Poales; Poaceae.
CUUGAGAUUCCAGGUACCAGGAUGAUCGUCAGGUGACAUGUGUCCUCACAGCUAAACGUAGCAAUACAGACAAACAUGGUAUAGGCAAAAUUAACAUUACAUCAAACAUAAGAAUAAACUACAUAAUAAUGAUCUACGCGUCGCUACGAGAUCGUGGGAACAUAAACCACUAAAUUUGGAGUUACGGUUAAGAAGCUAUGAUUUAUUGAAGGUUUAAGUGUCGGAUACAAAAGAAACUAGGUACAUAAUUUUUAAUCUAUGUUUCAUGACAAACUGAGGUCACUAGAUGAUCAACAAUAUUUAAAUGAAUUUAAUGCAAUUGGAAUAGAUCAAUUUGGAGUUAAAAUGAAUUAAAUAUGAAUUAAACAAGUUUCAAGAUUUAUUUUUGCACUAAAAAUCCUUUUCCUAAAUUAAUUUAUUCCCUUUUAUUCGCUGAAUGGACUGGGGACACUAUUCUGCGGAAGAUUAGGGGUCAAGCUGCAAUUAUUCUAACACUGUUUUGGACUGCGGGUUUAUACCGAGAAAGGCCGGGGGCUCUUUUAAAAGAAGUGUACAGCGAAGGGGUAUCAUCCAAUCACGGCCGUCAAUACAGAGAUCAACGGCGGAUAUCAGAUCUGACCGAAACGUUACUAUCUUCUAAUCAGGAUCGUUCGUCACAAAUCCUACGGCACGGAUCAAACUCCGGUGGAAGGGUAAGCGUGCAUCUAUUACUGGCCAUCAGAUCGCCAUCUAACGGUGCGCACCCACCCGGAUUCGGACCAUCGAUCCCAAAAUCUACUGCCAGAUCUAAAUGGGCGAAAAGGUAUACUGCAACCCCAUCUCAUCCACCCAUUAACUGAUCUACGGCCACCACAAUCUCUCCUUUCUCUCUCUUUUUCCGGCCACCAGGCAGUAGUGCCAGCAGUGCAGUAGCGGCGGCGCCAUGGCCGAGAUUCACAUCAGGCGCCCAAGACUUUUCCGAAAGCGUGGUACAGGUAGAUUACGAGGGCAGCACGGCGAAUGCAAUGAGAUGGUUCUUACCGGAAGUGGUGGCAGGUACGGGGCGACCACGACUGCGUGCCCGCCAAUGGUGUUCUGCGACCCACCGAGGAGCAGAGGGGUACGGUGGAGCAGGAGCUUGGGAACGAGGGUGUGGAUUUGCUACCAUGGAUGAGCACGAUGUCCAAGAGCC